Molecule: ribosomal RNA, 467 nt
Filed under: uncultured bacterium
Lineage: Bacteria
Description: partial 16S ribosomal RNA
Rfam family: Bacterial small subunit ribosomal RNA
Source: RNAcentral
GACGAACGCUGGCGGCGUGCUUAACACAUGCAAGUCGAACGAUGACGACCGAGCUUGCUCGGUCUGAUUAGUGGCGAACGGGUGAGUAACACGUGAGCAACCUGCCCUUCACUCUGGGAUAACCUCGGGAAAUCGGGGCUAAUACCGGAUAUGAGCUCCUGUCGCAUGGCGGGUGUUGGAAAGUUUUUCGGUGAAGGAUGGGCUGGCGGCCUAUCAGUUUGUUGGUGAGGUAGUGGCUCACCAAGGCGAUGACGGGUAGCCGGCCUGAGGGGGCGACCGGCCACACUGGGACUGAGACACGGCCCAGACUCCUACGGGAGGCAGCAGUGGGGAAUAUUGCACAAUGGGCGAAAGCCUGAUGCAGCGACGCCGCGUGAGGGAUGACGGCCUUCGGGUUGUAAACCUCUUUCAGCAGGGAAGAAGCGAAAGUGACGGUACCUGCAGAAGAAGCGCCGGCUAACUACGUG